RNAcentral lists this ribosomal RNA (434 nucleotides) under uncultured Lachnospiraceae bacterium. Its description in RNAcentral is "bacterial SSU rRNA". It matches the Rfam family "Bacterial small subunit ribosomal RNA", at positions 341 to 792 of the family's 1533-position model. Lineage: Bacteria; Bacillati; Bacillota; Clostridia; Lachnospirales; Lachnospiraceae. The record is from RNAcentral.
ACGGGAGGCAGCAGUGGGGAAUAUUGCACAAUGGGGGAAACCCUGAUGCAGCGACGCCGCGUGAGUGAAGAAGUUAUUCGUAAUGUAAAGCUCUAUCAGCAGGGAAGAUGAUGACGGUACCUGACUAAGAAGCACCGGCUAAAUACGUGCCAGCAGCCGCGGUAAUACGUAUGGUGCAAGCGUUAUCCGGAUUUACUGGGUGUAAAGGGAGCGCAGACGGCUUUGCAAGUCUGAAGUGAAAUCCGCGGGCUCAACCCGUGAACUGCUUUGGAAACUGUAGAGCUAGAGUGUCGGAGAGGUAAGUGGAAUUCCUAGUGUAGCGGUGAAAUGCGUAGAUAUUAGGAGGAACACCAGUGGCGAAGGCGGCUUACUGGACGAUAACUGACGUUGAGGCUCGAAAGCGUGGGGAGCAAACAGGAUUAGAUACCCUGGUA